GGCUAAAUACUACCUAGUGAUCGAUAGUGAACCAGUACCGUGAGGGAAAGGUGAAAAGCACCCCGGAAGGGGAGUGAAAGAGAUCCUGAAACCGUGUGCCUACAAAUAGUCAGAGCCCGUUAACGGGUGAUGGCGUGCCUUUUGUAGAAUGAACCGGCGAGUUACGAUCCCGUGCGAGGUUAAGCUGAAGAGGCGGAGCCGUAGCGAAAGCGAGUCUGAAUAGGGCGUUUAGUACGUGGUCGUAGACCCGAAACCAGGUGAUCUACCCAUGUCCAGGGUGAAGUUCAGGUAACACUGAAUGGAGGCCCGAACCCACGCACGUUGAAAAGUGCGGGGAUGAGGUGUGGGUAGCGGAGAAAUUCCAAUCGAACCUGGAGAUAGCUGGUUCUCCCCGAAAUAGCUUUAGGGCUAGCCUUAAGUGUAAGAGUCUUGGAGGUAGAGCACUGAUUGGACUAGGGGUCCCCAUCGGAUUACCGAAUUCAGUCAAACUCCGAAUGCCAAUGACUUAUCCUUAGGAGUCAGACUGCGAGUGAUAAGAUCCGUAGUCAAAAGGGAAACAGCCCAGACCGCCAGCUAAGGUCCCAAAGUGUGUAUUAAGUGGAAAAGGAUGUGGAGUUGCUUAGACAACUAGGAUGUUGGCUUAGAAGCAGCCACCAUUUAAAGAGUGCGUAAUAGCUCACUAGUCGAGUGACUCUGCGCCGAAAAUGUACCGGGGCUAAAUACACCACCGAAGCUGCGGAUUGAUACCUAUGGUAUCAGUGGUAGGGGAGCGUUCUAAGUGCUGUGAAGUCAGAUCGUAAGGACUGGUGGAGCGCUUAGAAGUGAGAAUGCCGGUAUGAGUAGCGAAAGACGGGUGAGAAUCCCGUCCACCGAAUGCCUAAGGUUUCCUGAGGAAGGCUCGUCCGCUCAGGGUUAGUCAGGACCUAAGCCGAGGCCGACAGGCGUAGGCGAUGGACAACAGGUUGAUAUUCCUGUACCACCUCUUUAUCGUUUGAGCAAUGGAGGGACGCAGAAGGAUAGAAGAAGCGUGCGAUUGGUUGAGCACGUCCAAGCAGUUAGGCUGGUAAGUAGG
Molecule: ribosomal RNA, 1072 nt
Filed under: Bacillus sp. 103mf
Lineage: Bacteria; Bacillati; Bacillota; Bacilli; Caryophanales; Bacillaceae
Description: bacterial LSU rRNA
Rfam family: Bacterial large subunit ribosomal RNA
Source: RNAcentral